AGUGAACGCUGGUGGUAGGCCUAACACAUGCAAGUCGAACGGCAGCACAGGAGAGCUUGCUCUCUGGGUGGCGAGUGGCGGGCGAGUGAGGCAUACAUCGGAAACUGCCCAGUCGUGGGGGAUAACGUAGGGAAACUUACGCUAAUACCGAAUACGACCUUCGGGUGGAAGAGGGGGAUCGCAAGACCUCUCACGGUUGGAUGAGCCGAUGUCGGAUUAGCUAGUUGGCGGGGUAAUGGCCCACCAAGGCGACGAGCCGUAGCUGGUAUGAGAGGAUGAACAGACACCCUGGAACUGAGACACGGUCCAGACUCCUACGGUGAGCAGCAGUCGGGAAUAUUGGACAAUGGGCGCAAGCCGGAUCCAGCCAUACCGCGUGGGUGAUGAACGCCUUCUGGUGGGAAAGCCCUUUUGUUGGUAAAGAAAUCAUUCAGUCUAAUACCCUGGGAGGAUGACGGUACCCAAAGAAUAAGCACCGGCUAACUUCGUG
RNAcentral lists this ribosomal RNA (490 nucleotides) under uncultured bacterium. RNAcentral describes it as "partial 16S ribosomal RNA". It matches the Rfam family "Bacterial small subunit ribosomal RNA", at positions 29 to 507 of the family's 1533-position model. The record is from RNAcentral.